UACGGGGGGAGCAAGCGUUGUUCGGAUUUACUGGGCGUAAAGGGCGCGUAGGCGGUCCGCACAGGUCAGUUGUGAAAUCUCCGGGCUUAACUCGGAAAGGUCAACUGAUACUGUGCGACUAGAGUGCAGAAGGGGCAACUGGAAUUCUCGGUGUAGCGGUGAAAUGCGUAGAUAUCGAGAGGAACACCUGCGGCGAAGGCGGGUUGCUGGGCUGACACUGACGCUGAUGCGCGAAAGCCAGGGGAGCGAACGGG
RNAcentral lists this ribosomal RNA (254 nucleotides) under uncultured bacterium. Its description in RNAcentral is "partial 16S ribosomal RNA". It matches the Rfam family "Bacterial small subunit ribosomal RNA", at positions 524 to 776 of the family's 1533-position model. The record is from RNAcentral.